RNAcentral lists this long non-coding RNA (1478 nucleotides) under Salvia miltiorrhiza (redroot sage). RNAcentral describes it as "long non-coding RNA (SMIL_LNC001091)". Lineage: Eukaryota; Viridiplantae; Streptophyta; Magnoliopsida; Lamiales; Lamiaceae. The record is from RNAcentral.
UGGCUCGUUCUCCCUCGUCCGAACUCCGAUUUAUGAUCCGUUUGCGCUCACGAACUCCUAUCGAGACGAACUAUAACUUGUAUUUCAGCCAAUUCUUCCAAAUUCUGCUUCAUUAUUUCUGAAAAUUCGUUCAAACACAAGAAAGUAACAAGUUCUUGACCAUAAACGAAUAUAAGCUCAAAUAGACCAUCAAACACACAAAAUCCUCACAACUAAGCAUCAAAAAUGACACACCAAGAGGUAAAAAUGCAUGUUUAUCACAUUAGUAUAUUUCGAACAAACCUCACAACUAUUUGAACAAACUCACUAACAUAAAGAACAAACCAACAACUGUGAACAGAAAGUCCAUUUAGAAACAACAUUAGUACAUUUCGAACAGACCUCACAACUAUUUGAACAUAUUCACAAACAUAAAGAACAAACCAAGAACUGUGAAUAGAAAGUCCAUUUUUCUAAGAAAUCAAUAUCUGUAAUAUUAAGGUGAGAACAAACCAAAAACUGUGAACAGAAAGUCCAUUUAUUCUCCCUAUAUUUGUCUAAGAAAUCAAAACAGCGGUUCAGCUUAGUGAUUAAACUUAUCGGCAUCAACUUUGCAUUUAAAAAUUGCAAGCUCAAAAUAAGAAAUGGUAUUCACCUUGUGAAAAGGAAAAAUCAAAAUCUGCCCAAAUCUUGCAAGCUCAAAAUAAGAAAUGGUAUUCACCUUGUGAAAAGGAAAAAUCAAAAUCUGCACAAAUAUGGAGAUUUGGUUGAUAGAGAAGGAUAACUAAUUUUGAAUAUAAGAAUGUAAAAAAUAUAUACAUACCAUGUAUUGGCUUUUUUUGGCCUUUCAAAGACAAUAUCCAUUGCAAAUUUCGCAUAUAUUUUAGAAAUAUUUAACUUAAAAUUGCUCAAUUACGAACAAAUCAAGACAUGUUUCGAACAGGCACCCAUACCAUCUGAAGCUUUCCCAUUCCCCUUUCCAGAAGCCAUAUGACGCAAUUUUUCUAUACAGUAUAACAAAUCCAGAACUCAUAAUCAAAGGAAAAUCCUAAAAAUCAUAUUCGAUAGAACCUAAUCUAAGCCCUCAUUCUAUAUAAUGUAAUCCAUAUAACCUAAUCGAAUUUCAAAACCCAGAAACUAAGCGAAAAUCAUAUUACAUAUAACAUGAUCGGAAUCAGAAACUCAGAUUUUUGGUAUUGAUUUUCGAUUUCGUUUGAUACAUUUAAACCCUAACAAAGAAGUUUGAUUUGGAUUUCGAAAACCCAACACAAAAAUCGAUUCAAACCCCCUAAAACCCAACAAAAAUUGUUUCUUGAAGCAGCAAUCGAACAAAACUCAAAAACCCAUUGCCUUACCCGUUCGAUUUCAAACGUCCACCGCGUUGACCCCCUCGUUCACCGCGACGACGCCAUGGAAAAAGAAAAAGGUUAGUUAUUUUGCAGAGAAUGUGAGAGACGACUGAGAGGUUGAGAGAGAGAGAGAGAGAGAGAGAGAGAGGG